Molecule: long non-coding RNA, 1639 nt
Filed under: Pectinophora gossypiella (pink bollworm)
Lineage: Eukaryota; Metazoa; Arthropoda; Insecta; Lepidoptera; Gelechiidae
Description: uncharacterized LOC126369900
Source: RNAcentral
CAUCGCACGUUAUAGCUGUGUUACUAAAUUCGGGAAAUUAUUAUUUUCACUUUUACUUUUAAAUACUUAAUUAUCUUAAACUAGAAAUGAUAGAUUACCAAAAAUACUAUUGAGCUUUUUAACAUAUUUUAAUAACAGGCCUAUUUUAAAGUGCUAAAGUGUAUACAUGUUAAUAAUAAACUUACAAAUUUAAACAAUUAUUUUAAACUAACGUACUGGCUUUCAACUGGACGGGAUUUAUUAUUGUACCUAAGUGAAAUAAGUUCGAGGGGGAUCAACUGUUUUAUUAAAUUCCUCCGUCGACUCUCAACAAACUACGCUGAGUGCGAUGUCCUAGGAAAAUAUGAGAUAGUCUUCGAGAGGAAUCAGCGACUAUGGGUCGCAACUCCAACAACUUGGAGUCCAAUGGAGAACUUCGGGUGUUACUGGUAGUGACCGUAAUAGUGGGAUUAUUGCUCAUGUUGUCACUCCUUAUGUGUUACGCCUGUGUGUUGAAGAGACUCUGCUGUGGCACGCCGAGGGAGCGAGCGAAACAUGUCGCCUGCGCUAGGAGAACUGAAAGCUACCCCAUGGGAGACAUCACUCUACUCUCCCAGCCGACGGAAAGCGAACGCGUUUGAACUUAUAAAUGGGUUAAAAUCACGAAUAUGUACUUUAACAUGUUAACAAUGUGACCUAGAAGUGAGUUUUCUGGAAUUGCGUAGUCUCAAGCUUGUUCUACUCACAAGCUUGAGACUACGCAAUCAGGCCGAGAAAGUACUUCUUCAUAUUUGAGAUAAAUAUAGAUAGCUACUUAUCUAUUAUAAUAUCGAAACAACGGAAGUAUAUGUUAAAAAAUGAUCUGAGGUUGUAAGUAUUUCGAUGUUUAUGUACCCGGUGUUGAUCGUAAGAUAAUAUUUAUGUAAGUAUAUUUGGUUAAAGGGGUAAAACGUCAUACUCGGUGUUAUCUUUGGCCUAGUCAUCUAGCCUUCAUCUAAUAGGGUAUUUGUUGUCAACGUGUAAAUUAUAAAAUGCUAACCUAGGAAUAGAAGCCUAUCUCACUGAGAUGAUUAAAAAUCGAAUCCAUUUUACUUUUUAUCUGAUUUACGACUUAUAAAGUGUGAUGAUCACGCGACGGUAUUUUCAUCCUUGAAGAUUUUCAUUUCGUCGUUUCAAAAAAAGCUAUCUCAUUUGACUAGAUUGUCAAGUAGCCCAUUGAAGUCCUAAUCUGGGUAUAAGCGGAGGUCGGUGUUGCUCUAUGGAGUAUAAUGAACUGUGCUGACAGGUCACCAACACCAACCUAUCGUGAAAUAUCAUGCCGAAGAGUUUUUAUGACUGGUCCAUCCACGAUGAUGUGCAGCUGAGAAUAUAUUACAGGUUUCUUUUUCUAUAUUCCCAGUCUAGCAGAAAAGUAUGUUUAUAUCUUAUUACAAGUAGGUAAGAAAAUCCCUGUAUGAAGAAAAUGAAAUGCUUCUAUUAUUAUAACAAUUAUAUUGUAUAAUAUAUAAUAUUGUAUGUACAAUAAACAUGGAACAAGGCAGGUGAACUACAGUGAAAGCACCUAUAAUUAUUGUCCAAAUACUUAAACCCGCUCAAUAUACAAAUAGAUAAUGUACCUAUAACCAUGAAUAACAUUUUAUAUCAUUGUUAUCAUACAAAA